AUACGUAGGUGGCAAGCGUCGUCCGGAAUUAUUGGGCGUAAAGCGCAUGUAGGCGGUUUGGUAAGUCGGUCGUGAAAAUGCGGUGCUUAACGCCGUAUGGCGAUUGAAACUGCUGAACUUGAGUGCAGGAGAGGAAAGGGGAACUCCCAGUGUAGCGGUGAAAUGCGUUGAUAUUGGGAAGAACACCGGUGGCGAAGGCGCCUUUCUGGACUGUGUCUGACGCUCAGAUGCGAAAGCCAGGGUAGCGAACGGGAUUAGAUACCCCGGUAGUCCUGGCCGUAAACGAUGGGUACUAGGUGUGGGAGGUAUCGACUCCUUCCGUGCCGGAGUUAACGCAAUAAGUACCCCGCCUGGGGAGUACGGCCGCAAGGCUUAAACUCAAAGGAAUUGACGGGG
This 396-nucleotide ribosomal RNA is filed under the name uncultured bacterium. RNAcentral describes it as "partial 16S ribosomal RNA". It matches the Rfam family "Bacterial small subunit ribosomal RNA", at positions 523 to 918 of the family's 1533-position model. The record is from RNAcentral.